GAUGAACGCUGGCGGCGUGCCUAAUACAUGCAAGUCGAGCGAACAGACGAGGAGCUUGCUCCUCUGACGUUAGCGGCGGACGGGUGAGUAACACGUGGAUAACCUACCUAUAAGACUGGGAUAACUUCGGGAAACCGGAGCUAUUACCGGAUAAUAUAUUGAACCGCAUGGUUCAAUAGUGAAAGACGGUUUUGCUGUCACUUAUAGAUGGAUCCGCGCCGCAGUAGCUAGUUGGUAAGGUAACGGCUUACCAAGGCAACGAUGCGUAGCCGACCUGAGAGGGUGAUCGGCCACACUGGAACUGAGACACGGUCCAGACUCCUACGAGAGGCAGCAGUAGGGAAUCUUCCGCAAUGGGCGAAAGCCUGACGGAGCAACGCCGCGUGAGUGAUGAAGGUCUUCGGAUCGUAAAACUCUGUUAUUAGGGAAGAACAAAUGUGUAAGUAACUAUGCACGUCUUGACGGUACCUAAUCAGAAAGCCACGGCUAACUACGUG
This 497-nucleotide ribosomal RNA is filed under the name uncultured bacterium. RNAcentral's name for it is "partial 16S ribosomal RNA". It matches the Rfam family "Bacterial small subunit ribosomal RNA", at positions 28 to 507 of the family's 1533-position model. The record is from RNAcentral.